Molecule: ribosomal RNA, 467 nt
Filed under: uncultured bacterium
Lineage: Bacteria
Description: partial 16S ribosomal RNA
Rfam family: Bacterial small subunit ribosomal RNA
Source: RNAcentral
GACGAACGCUGGCGGCGUGCUUAACACAUGCAAGUCGAACGGAAAGGCCUCUUUCGGGUGGUACUCGAGUGGCGAACUGGUGAGUAACACGUGAGUAACCUGCCCUUUACUUUGGGAUAACUUCUGGAAACUGGGGCUAAUACCUGAUAGCAGCUCCUGCUUCCUGGUGGGGGUUGGAAAUUUUCGGCGGUUGGGGGUGGACUCGCGGCUUAUCAGCUUGUUGGUGGGGUAGUGGCUUACCAAGGCGUUGACGGGUAGCCGGCCUGAGUGUGUGACCGGCCACAUUGGGACUGAGAGACGGCCCAGACUGCUACGGGAGGAAGCAGUGGGGAAGAUUGAACAAGGGGUGGAAGCCGGAUGAAGCAACGCCGUGUGCGGGAUGACGGCCUUCGGGUUGUAAAACGCUUUCGCUCAUGACGAAGCUUUGUGUGACGGUAGUGGGUAAAGAAGCACCGGCUAACUACGUG